GAUCCGUGGCUCAGGACGAACGCUGGCGGCGUGCUUAACACAUGCAAGUCGAGCGAUGAAGCUUCUUCGGAAGUGGAUUAGCGGCGGACGGGUGAGUAACACGUGGGUAACCUGCCUCAUAGAGGGGAAUAGCCUUUCGAAAGGAAGAUUAAUACCGCAUAAGAUUGUAGUACCGCAUGGUACAGCAAUUAAAGGAGUAAUCCGCUAUGAGAUGGACCCGCGUCGCAUUAGCUAGUUGGUGAGGUAACGGCUCACCAAGGCGACGAUGCGUAGCCGACCUGAGAGGGUGAUCGGCCACAUUGGGACUGAGACACGGCCCAGACUCCUACGGGAGGCAGCAGUGGGGAAUAUUGCACAAUGGGGGAAACCCUGAUGCAGCAACGCCGCGUGAGUGAUGACGGUCUUCGGAUUGUAAAGCUCUGUCUUUAGGGACGAUAAUGACGGUACCUAAGGAGGAAGCCACGGCUAACUACGUGCCAGCCGCAGC
Molecule: ribosomal RNA, 487 nt
Filed under: uncultured bacterium
Lineage: Bacteria
Description: bacterial SSU rRNA
Rfam family: Bacterial small subunit ribosomal RNA
Source: RNAcentral